GACGAACGCUGGCGGCGUGCUUAACACAUGCAAGUCGAACGGAAAGGCCCUGCUUUUUUGGGGUGCUCGAGUGGCGAACGGGUGAGUAACACGUGAGUAACCUGCCCUUGACUUUGGGAUAACUUCAGGAAACUGGGGCUAAUACCGGAUAGGAGCUCCUGCUGCAUGGUGGGGGUUGGAAAGUUUCGGCGGUUGGGGAUGGACUCGCGGCUUAUCAGCUUGUUGGUGGGGUAGUGGUUUACCAAGGCUUUGAAGGGUAGCCGGCCUGAGAGGGUGAACGGCCACAUUGGGACUGAGGUACGGCCCAGACUCCUACGGGAGGCAGCAGUGGGGAAUAUUGCACAAUGGGCGGAAGCCUGAUGCAGCAACGCCGCGUGCGGGAUGACGGCCUUCGGGUUGUAAACCGCUUUAGCCUGUGACGAAGCGUGAGUGACGGUAAUGGGUAAAGAAGCACCGGCUAACUACGUG
Molecule: ribosomal RNA, 468 nt
Filed under: uncultured bacterium
Lineage: Bacteria
Description: partial 16S ribosomal RNA
Rfam family: Bacterial small subunit ribosomal RNA
Source: RNAcentral